Molecule: ribosomal RNA, 1052 nt
Filed under: uncultured archaeon
Lineage: Archaea
Description: bacterial SSU rRNA
Rfam family: Archaeal small subunit ribosomal RNA
Source: RNAcentral
UCUGGUUGAUCCUGGCAGAGGUCACUGCUAUCGGUGUUCGUCUAAGCCAUGCGAGUCAUAUGUUCUUCGUGAACAUGGCGUACUGCUCAGUAACACGUGGAUAACCUGCCCUUGGGUUCGGCAUAACCCCGGGAAACUGGGGAUAAUACCGGAUAACGCAUAUAUGCUGGAAUUCUUUAUGCGUAAAAUGGAUUCGUCCGCCCAAGGAUGGGUCUGCGGCCUAUCAGGUAGUAGUGGGUGUAAUGUACCUACUAGCCGACGACGGGUACGGGUUGUGAGAGCAAGAGCCCGGAGAUGGAUUCUGAGACAUGAAUCCAGGCCCUACGGGGCGCAGCAGGCGCGAAAACUUUACAAUGCGGGAAACCGUGAUAAGGGGACACCGAGUGCCAGCAUCAUAUGCUGGCUGUCCGGGUGUGUAAAAUACACCUGUUAGCAAGGGCCGGGCAAGACCGGUGCCAGCCGCCGCGGUAACACCGGCGGCCCGAGUGGUGAUCGUGUUUAUUGGGUCUAAAGGGUCCGUAGCCGGUUUGGUCAGUCCUCCGGGAAAUCUGACGGCUUAACCGUUAGGCUUUCGGGGGAUACUGCCAGACUUGGAACCGGGAGAGGUAAGAGGUACUACAGGGGUAGGAGUGAAAUCUUGUAAUCCCUGUGGGACCACCUGUGGCGAAGGCGUCUUACCAGAACGGGUUCGACGGUGAGGGACGAAAGCUGGGGGCACGAACCGGAUUAGAUACCCGGGUAGUCCCAGCCGUAAACGAUGCUCGCUAGGUGUCAGGCAUGGCGCGACCGUGUCUGGUGCCGCAGGGAAGCCGUGAAGCGAGCCACCUGGGAAGUACGGCCGCAAGGCUGAAACUUAAAGGAAUUGGCGGGGGAGCACAACAACGGGUGGAGCCUGCGGUUUAAUUGGACUCAACGCCGGACAACUCACCGGGGGCGACAGCAAUAUGUAGGUCAGGCUGAAGACCUUGCCUGAAUCGCUGAGAGGAGGUGCAUGGCCGUCGCCAGUUCGUACUGUGAAGCAUCCUGUUGAGUCAGGCAACGAGCGAGACCCA